UACGUAGGGACCAAGCGUUGUUCGGAUUUACUGGGCGUAAAGGGCGCGUAGGCGGCAAUUCAAGUCAGCUGUGAAAUCUCCGGGCUUAACUCGGAACGGUCAGCUGAUACUGCUUUGCUAGAGUGCAGAAGGGGCAACUGGAAUUCUCGGUGUAGCGGUGAAAUGCGUAGAUAUCGAGAGGAACACCUGCGGCGAAGGCGGGUUGCUGGGCUGACACUGACGCUGAGGCGCGAAAGCCAGGGGAGCGAACGGG
Molecule: ribosomal RNA, 253 nt
Filed under: uncultured bacterium
Lineage: Bacteria
Description: partial 16S ribosomal RNA
Rfam family: Bacterial small subunit ribosomal RNA
Source: RNAcentral